GCAACUCGCCUGUAUGAAGUCGGAAUUGCUAGUAAUCGUGGAUCAGCAUGCCACGGUGAAUACGUUCCCGGGCCUUGUACACACCGCCCGUCACACCAUGAGAGCCGGAACACCCGAAGUCCGUAGUCUAACCUAUAUGGAGGACGCGGCCGAAGGUGGGUUUGGUAAUUGGGGUGAAGUCGUAACAAGGUAUC
Molecule: ribosomal RNA, 194 nt
Filed under: uncultured bacterium
Lineage: Bacteria
Description: partial 16S ribosomal RNA
Rfam family: Bacterial small subunit ribosomal RNA
Source: RNAcentral